AAUUUAAAAUAAAACAGACGCUAGCCAACUCGCUCCUAGGAGGCUCCCUCGAUUUCCUGCUUCGUCGGUCGUUGGAUGGUGGUUAAAAUAGCCUUCUGCAUGAUCUGGAACGUUAGAUGAUCGCGCUGCUCGUUUUCACCGCGUGGUAACCUCGCAUUGGCCAAUGACGCGUGGGCUCAUGCGAUGUGCUGGUUAGCUGGUGAACCGCUUCGUGGUGUGUGCGCACCCUGUCCCUGCACGCCGCGUGCACGUCGCGCCAUUUGCGGGAGAUCGUGCGAGAGCCACACCCAUUGGUCACCGCCCCGCACAAACCCUACCCUUUCCAGCGCUCCCAGAUCGAUGGAGCCGCCUCCCUUCUCCCUCUCUUCCUCCCCCAACGCGCCGGCCGCCGCCACCUGCCAUACCGCGUCCCCGCUGCGGCCAUGGCCUCUUCAAGAGGCACGCCCCUCCAUGGUCAGAAGCAGCAGACCAGGAUCCGGAUGAGGAAGAGGAGAUCCGGGCGCCCCAACGGUGGAUCGAUCGAUACCCGGAUGAGGAAGAGGAGAUCCAGGCGCCCCAAUGGUGGAUCGAUCGAUGCGAGGUGACGACGAGCUCCUCCGGACGUGGGGGAGCAGUGAGGCUGGAGAUCCAGUCGGCACAUGCCCCACGGGGUUGGGGAGACGCCGACAAUAGGGGCAAGGUGCAUCAGGGUCGAAGCUGCAGCGCUCCGGUCCCCAAGCCGCCUCCAGGCUCGCUUCCUCCUCCAUCCUCCCGCAUCUCACCCAUCUCGACGGAUACGAGGCGUGCGGGCACGGAGGCGAGGUUCUCCGGCGGCGGCAGGAACCUCCAGGCAGAGAGCGACCCCAUGGACCCGUCCCUGCAGGAGAGAAGGAAGGAGAGGAGACAGGCCAUGGAGAUGGGAUGAGAACGUCCAUGGCCAGCCAAUCGAGCCCCACCUCCGGUGCGCGACCCCAGGAAGGAUUUUGCGCUGCCGUCUUCUUUCGCCGGUCCGUGCCCUGGAAGAGCGACACCAGCCAGUUCUGCCUUACUUGCAGCGUGUGUGAUGUGUGCAUGCUUACUGAUGUGUGGCAAUCUCUUAAUUAUAAGUCCCAAUUUAUGCACUUUCUAGAAGGAUGAUGGUGAGGAGGGGCUACCUUUUCCUCGGAGAGGACCCUAACUGAACUUUGUAUCGAAGCUUUGUGUGUGUGUUUCUCCUUAAUCUGCGUGUAAAUUCAGAGUUCUAAUCACCAUUCUUGUGCUUGCUGGUUUCAGGCAUUGUAUGGGAAUGAAGCAAAAAGUCUGCCUUCCAUUGGCGUGUGAGUACUUGCACUUGGACCUUUUUGUGACCAGUACUAACUAAUCUAAUGAUCUGAUCCUUGCAAUCUAAGGAAAAAAUAAAUUACUGCACCUGGUUAUCUACAGAGGAAGGCAAGGAUAACUAGAUUAAACAUUUCACAAGACCCUCCCAAUUACAGGCACAAACUCCUUUCAAGAUAUUACAAGUGUGGUUGAUUACGGGAGAUUGUCAGAUGAAAAGAAGGUAUAUCCUUUAUAUUUAUCUAGAUGUUUAAUUAGCUGCACAGCCAUACGUGAUUCUAUAAGGAAACUAUUUAUCCUGGUGAUCUUGAUAUCCAGUCAUGUAUUACAGUAUUAGUAUAGGCUGUAAUUUUUGGCUAGGAAUCUAUAUAUAUAGAACCUAAACUGAAGACUCAAUAUAGCACAUAUACUAGGCCAGUUAUCCUAAGAAUAUUAAUCCACCUGGACUUUUAACUUGACUUCCAAAGAAGUUCUUAACGAUCAAGCAUUUUUGAGUUUUUAGUAAAUUGAAAUAAUGUUGCACUUUGACAAUACUAUUCUGAUUUUGCAAGUUAAUAGAAAUCCUUCAGUUUCAUACCACUUUUUUAAUCGCACAUUUGGAUGAGUAUUAGUAUAGGCUGUAAUUUUUGGCUAGGAAUCUAUAUAUACAGAACCUAAACUGAAGACUCAAUAUAGCACAUAUACUUGGCCAGUUAUCCUAAGAAUAUUAAUCCACCUGGACUUUUAACUUGACUUCCAAAGAAGUUCUUAACGAUCAAGCAUUUUUGAGUUUUUAGUAAAUUGAAAUAAUGUUGCACUUUGACAAUACUAUUCUGAUUUUGCAAGUUAAUAGAAAUCCUUCAAUUUCAUACCACUUUUUUAAUCGCACAUUUGGAUGAUUGCGACAUUAUCUCUUCUCGGAAUUCCGCUUGCAUGUUUCCAGUUGAGACAAUAACUGAGUUUGAUAAGUAACCACUAUAUUAUUUUCUAUGUGUACAUUACGAGCCCGAGACUUCCAUCACAACAAACUAUAUGUAUCCAGGUAGUGUCCAAUAUGUACACACAGGCUCCUCUCACAGGCCGACUAAGCUGAUUGUAACUGAAUGUGUGUGUGUGGCCGUGAAGUAGACUUUAUCUUGGUCUGAGUAUCAGUUCCCUUCAAUGGUACAAUUUUGGAUACUAUUUUCUUCUAGAUGUAUAGGUUUCUGCUGGUCCCAUUGGCUGCUACAUUUUAGUGAUACGAUAGCUCAAUGUCAUGCUCACCUAUUGUUCUGUAAAAAUGAAAAAUCGACUUGACUGUAUUUUGUACCUGUUUUAGUAAUUACAUGAUGUGAUUAUUUUCAUUCUAGAUAUGGAAAUAUUCUAAGGAUUAAGCUUUUUGAGAUGUUAAGGUGUCUGAUGAUUAAUUAGCCUUUGUAAGAUUUAUGCACUCAUGUCAUACAACCUAGAUAAUUCUCCUUGGAUCUCCAUAAUUUCUAACUGAAUAUAGAUGUAUACUGACAGUAAAUCCCGUUUUAGUAAUUAGUUGGAUAUAAUUGAUAAUUCUUUGACAUGUUUUUAUGAAAUGUCUGCUUAAAUCAGCGUUAGAUGCUCCCAUAAUCGAUUACUUUUUGGAUAUGAAUUAUUACUAUAAGAAGUAUAUUGGUUCUCCGGUGUUUUCAGUUCUUACAAUAAACAAAUUAUAUUGUUUUCCACUAAUCAUUUCUCAUGUAGUUUUACUCUGCAGUAUGUAUCUUUUGCUUCAUAACUCAUCUGUUCACAAGAUUGAUGCCUAGAAAUUUCAGCCUUCCGUGCUAAAUGUCGUCUGCUCAUUUGUAACGGCAUAGAGAUAGGAACGAGCAAUUCAUCUUAAGUUUGAGAAAGUGGCGGACAAAAGAGAACUGGACUAUUGUUGCUGAGCGCUAGCUCUGGCCGCAUGAUCAUCUAUAUAUAUAGUUUUCAACAGUAAAUGUAUCCUGAUUGGUAUAGCACAAAUGGAAAUCUUACUUUCUUCUAAACUCUUAAUUUCAAGAUGAACUGGAGAGGGGAAUUUGUACUAAGUUUGGAAUCUAUCACAGUAAGUGUGUAUUUGCGGUAUUGAUGUACAGUUAUUAAGAAAGUUACAUUUUUUCAGCUAUUGUGCUACUGAGAAGGAAGCAUGGCUGAGAAUUGCUCUGGCUGGAGUUGAAUGUCUUUGUGACUGAAUACUAGAGACGCUGACUUGCAGCCACUCUUUACAGUCCUACCACCUAGCUUUUAUCUCUCACCUUCCGUUAUUUUCAUGUUAACACUGCCAUUGGGGCAAAUCUAUAUUGCUUAUUGAUGGGUCUAGCUAUAGGUAGAAUUCCAUGUUUCCUACACUGUAUUAUACCCAUUACUAUUUGAAUGUUGAUUCUGACAA
Molecule: long non-coding RNA, 3655 nt
Organism: Triticum aestivum (bread wheat)
Lineage: Eukaryota; Viridiplantae; Streptophyta; Magnoliopsida; Poales; Poaceae
Exons: 3
Source: RefSeq, a predicted model, not a curated record